Molecule: ribosomal RNA, 122 nt
Filed under: uncultured bacterium
Lineage: Bacteria
Description: partial 16S ribosomal RNA
Rfam family: Bacterial small subunit ribosomal RNA
Source: RNAcentral
CCUUCGGGAGGCAGCAGGGGGGAAUCUUGCACAAUGGGGGAAACCCUGAUGCAGCGAUGCCGCGCUGAGCUGAAGAAGGCGUUUGGGUUGUAAUACUCUUUCGUCGGCGGAAGAAAAUGACG